This 253-nucleotide ribosomal RNA is filed under the name uncultured bacterium. Its description in RNAcentral is "partial 16S ribosomal RNA". It matches the Rfam family "Bacterial small subunit ribosomal RNA", at positions 524 to 776 of the family's 1533-position model. The record is from RNAcentral.
UACGGAGGGAGCUAGCGUUGUUCGGAAUUACUGGGCGUAAAGCGCGCGUAGGCGGCUUUGUAAGUUAGAGGUGAAAGCCCGGGGCUCAACCCCGGAACUGCCUUUAAGACUGCAUCGCUGGAAUCCGGGAGAGGUGAGUGGAAUUCCGAGUGUAGAGGUGAAAUUCGUAGAUAUUCGGAAGAACACCAGUGGCGAAGGCGGCUCACUGGACCGGUAUUGACGCUGAUGUGCGAAAGCCAGGGGAGCAAACGGG